GAGAGUUUGAUUCUGGCUCAGGACGAACGCUGGCGGCGUGCCUAACACAUGCAAGUCGAGCGAGGAGAUUCCCUUCGGGGAUGAACCUAGCGGCGGACGGGUGAGUAACACGUGGGCAACCUACCUUAUAGAGGGGAAUAGCCUUCCGAAAGGAAGAUUAAUACCGCAUAACAUUACAUUUUCGCAUGAAAAAGUAAUUAAAGGAGUAAUCCGCUAUAAGAUGGGCCCGCGGCGCAUUAGCUAGUUGGUGAGGUAACGGCUCACCAAGGCGACGAUGCGUAGCCGACCUGAGAGGGUGAUCGGCCACAUUGGGACUGAGACACGGCCCAGACUCCUACGGGAGGCAGCAGUGGGGAAUAUUGCACAAUGGGGGAAACCCUGAUGCAGCAACGCCGCGUGAGUGAUGAAGGUCUUCGGAUCGUAAAGCUCUGUCUUCAGGGACGAUAGUGACGGUACCUGAGGAGGAAGCCACGGCUAACUACGUGCCAGCAGCCCGC
This 497-nucleotide ribosomal RNA is filed under the name swine manure pit bacterium PPC106. RNAcentral's name for it is "bacterial SSU rRNA". It matches the Rfam family "Bacterial small subunit ribosomal RNA", at positions 7 to 518 of the family's 1533-position model. The record is from RNAcentral.